Molecule: ribosomal RNA, 496 nt
Filed under: uncultured bacterium
Lineage: Bacteria
Description: partial 16S ribosomal RNA
Rfam family: Bacterial small subunit ribosomal RNA
Source: RNAcentral
GAUGAACGCUGGCGGCGUGCCUAUACCUGCAAGUCGCGCGAACAGACGAGGAGCUUGCUCCUCUGACGUUAGCGGCGGACGGGUGAGUAACACGUGGAUAACCUACCUAUAAGACUGGGAUAACUUCGGGAAACCGGAGCUAAUACCGGAUAAUAUAUUGAACCGCAUGGUUCAAUAGUGAAAGACGGUUUUGCUGUCACUUAUAGAUGGAUCCGCGCCGCAUUAGCUAGUUGGUAAGGUAACGGCUUACCAAGGCAACGAUGCGUAGCCGACCUGAGAGGGUGAUCGGCCACACUGGAACUGAGACACGGUCCAGACUCCUACGGGAGGCAGCAGUAGGGAAUCUUCCGCAAUGGGCGAAAGCCUGACGGAGCAACGCCGCGUGAGUGAUGAAGGUCUUCGGAUCGUAAAACUCUGUUAUUAGGGAAGAACAAAUGUGUAAGUAACUAUGCACGUCUUGACGGUACCUAAUCAGAAAGCCACGGCUAACUACGUG